AACUAACGCUGGCGGCGUGCCUAACACAUGCAAGUCGAACGAGAAAGUUGGCUUCGGCCGAUGAGUAAAGUGGCGCACGGGUGAGUAACGCGUGGAUAAUCUGCCCUUUAGUUUGGAAUAACGUACCGAAAGGUGCGCUAAUACCGGAUAAUACUGAAUGACUACUGUUGUUUAGUCAAAGAAGGCUUCUGUUUACAAGCUUUUGCUGAAGGAUGAGUCCGCGUACCAUUAGCUGGUUGGUGGGGUAAUGGCCUACCAAGGCUACGAUGGUUAGCUGGUCUGAGAGGAUGAUCAGCCACACUGGAACUGAGACACGGUCCAGACUCCUACGGGAGGCAGCAGUGAGGAAUAUUGCGCAAUGGGGGCAACCCUGACGCAGCAACGCCGCGUGAGUGAGGAAGGUUUUCGGACCGUAAAGCUCUGUCGAGCGGGAAGAAAUGUAUCAUGGCUAAUAUCCAUGAUACUUGACGGUACCGCUAAAGGAAGCACCGGCUAACUCCG
Molecule: ribosomal RNA, 501 nt
Filed under: uncultured bacterium
Lineage: Bacteria
Description: bacterial SSU rRNA
Rfam family: Bacterial small subunit ribosomal RNA
Source: RNAcentral